UGACGUGUCGAGUGCGCGCAAAACUGACGUCUCUCAGAGUGGAUCGUUAUACCUUAGACGCCAGCUGCGAGUUUUUCUGAGUGUUGAUUGUCAUCUGAUUGUGAGCUAACUACAGCCCAAAGGCUCUUUUAAGAGCCACAAGCACUGAGGAUCUUUGGCUUUAUUCUUUGUCAGGAUCAAUCCUGAAGAGGGCACAAAGUGCACUGCAAAUUCGGUACAAGCCGUAAGACAGGUGGAACUGUACAAAGAAAAGUUGCAACCAUCAAC
Molecule: long non-coding RNA, 267 nt
Organism: Cyprinus carpio (common carp)
Lineage: Eukaryota; Metazoa; Chordata; Actinopteri; Cypriniformes; Cyprinidae
Exons: 4
Source: RefSeq, a predicted model, not a curated record